CCAGCACGAUGGCCGUGCGAUCCGUCGAGUUAUCAUGAAUCAUCGCAGCAAUGGGCAUAGCCCGCGUCGACCUUUUAUCUAAUAAAUGCAUACCUUCCCGAAGUCGGGGCUUGUUGCACGUAUUAGCUCUAGAAUUACUACGGUUAUCCAAGUAGUAGAUGCCAUCAAACAAACUAUAACUGAUUUAAUGAGCCAUUCGCAGUUUCACAGUCUGAAUUUGUUCAUACUUACACAUGCAUGGCUUAAUCUUUGAGACAAGCAUAUGACUACUGGCAGGAUCAACCACGUAGCAUUCCUCAUUGACGCCGGCGUCGCAUGAGCGUGGCCGACCCAAAAGGGCACGGCCAAGUCCAAGGCGAGCACGACCAUUAUUCGUAAGGAGCAUUCUUUGGGCAGAUAGAGGCUAAUGAAGGCCCCGUGCCCAUUGCGUUUACCGAAUCCGAGAGCCCGAGCAUGCUAUGUCGUGGACCAAGCCAUCGCAAGGCGAAGCUAGGACGACCUGGGUGAACGCGAGGAGCAAAAGGUGACCGAUUGUACUUUAUAAUGCCUUGGCAUUAGGUAUGCAACACAGAAAACCAACGUCGAACAAGCCCAGUUUGCGCUUGUGACAUGACUGAGAUGGCAUGUGAGCUAGGACAUCACUGCUCGAGCCGGGAUCCAACCUAGCCUCACAAGCCGAACACCACUCAUGUGCCGCACGUACAAGUAGAACUCCCUCACGUUUCCCUCGUGUUUCCCAGCAAGUAAUUCCCUUGAACUUACUUCACUCAUUCUGCCUAAGCCUAAAGGUCCUAUUUAUUGGUCUUUAUGCUUAACCGCCCAUGACCAUGUUGUCUAACAGCUAUUGAUGCGCAGCCAUGUGUUUUUGCCGAUGCCAACAUUGCAAAGACAAGACAAGCCCCGCAAAGAACGAAUAGUGGGUUUGAACAAUGCCAGACACAACCCACAACAACCAAUGUCAAUCGGCAACUUACUAAGCUUCCCCUCGUGCGCACGGCACCUUGCGGCACUACUUGCAGGAUGCUUUGCAAUUUUGUUGCCAAAAGCCAUCAGCCGCCACGAGCGAUGUCGCCUCCCGAUGUUGCCCGCACAACCGAUGGCAAUCGGCAACAUACUAAGCUUCGCCUCGUUCGCACGGCACCUUGCGGCGCUACUUGCACGAUGCUUUGCCAUUUUGUUGCGAAAAGCCAUUAGCCGCCAUGAGCGAUGUCGCCUCCCGAUGUUGCCCGCAAAAACCGAUGGCAAUCAGUAACUUACUAAGAUUCGCCUCGUGCGCACGGCACCUUGCGGCACUACUUGCAUGAUGCUUUGCCAUUUUGUUGCCAGAAGCCAUCAGCUGCCACGAGCGAUAGUCCCCUCCCGAUGUUUCCCGCAACAACCGAUGGUAAUGAACAUCUACUGAGCUUCGCCACGUGCGCACGGCACCUUGCGGUGCUACUUGCACGAUGCUCCGCCAUUAGUUUUCAAAAGCCAAAGGCCGCCACGGAGACACAACCCACAACAAUCGAUGGCAAUAGGCAACUUACUAAGUUUCGCCCCAUGCGCACGGCUCCUUGCGGCGCUACUUGCACAACGCUCUGCCGUUCCAUUGCCGAAAGACAUCAACCGCCAUGAGCGAUGUUGCCCGCAACAACCAACGGCAAUCGACAUCUACUGAGGUUCGCCCCAUGCGCACGGCACCUUGCGGCACUAAUUGCACGAGGCUCCGCCGUUCUUAGUCGAAAGCCAUCAGCCGCAACGAGAGAUUCCAGACACAAGCCACAACAACCGAUGGCAAUCAACAACUUACUAUGCUUCAGCCCCUGCGCACGGCACCUUGCGACGCUACUCUGUUGUCGAAAGCCAUCAGCCGCCACGACUGAUGUCGCCUCCCGAUUUUUCCCGCAACAUCCAAUGGCGAUCAACAAGUACUAAGCUUCGCCCCAUGCGCACGGUACCUAGCGGCGCUACUUGCAUGACGCUCCAUCGUUCAUUGCCAAAAGCCAAUGUUUGCCACGAGCGGUGCCACCACCAGGCUUACUACGAGCCCACACGAGUACCUGCCGUAAUGGUUUGGGAACAUCGAGGACGUAGCACGGGCUUGUGCAUGCCCCCAAUGCCGAGCCCCAUGCCAGCGUCCCCCAUGCAUGCCCGCCCCUUCCUUGCAACAAGCACCUGAGGUGCCUUUCAACACCUGUACCUCCCUUAAAUAUGCUUAAAAAUAAACUACUUCCUAGCAGCAAGCUGAGGUGCCUUCCAACACCUCUACCCCCCUUAUAUAUGCUUAAAAAAAAAAUUCCAAGUUUCAGGAGUAGACAUGUUUUUUUCCAGAGAAUCAUAAUAGACAUGUACAACACCAAAUAGCACAAACUAAAGUAUAACAUGGCUAAUAUGUUCACAAAUUACUUUUAUACAUUGUAAAUGAUAUUUUUCACAAAAAAUAAUAUUUUUUGAAAUAUUUUUAUUUAAAAACGAAAAAUAUUUAAUAAAAUACUAAAAAAUAUGAAAAUUAUUACAAAAAUAGAAAAAAUGAUGGAGAAAAAUUCCAAUACAACUUGUAAUAGUAUAACAUAUAAAAGAGUAAAUAAAUACUAAAAAAUAUGAAAAUUAUUAUAAAAAUAGAAAAAAUGAUGGAGAAAAAUUCCAAUGCAACUUGUAAUAGUUUAACAUAUAAAAGAGUAAAUAUUUUUAUUAAAAAGCGACAUAAAAAUAAUUUAAAAUAACAAAAAAUGCAUAAAUAUUACUAAAACAUAUAUUAAAAAUNNNNNNNNNNNNNNNNNNNNNNNNNNNNNNNNNNNNNNNNNNNNNNNNNNNNNNNNNNNNNNNNNNNNNNNNNNNNNNNNNNNNNNNNNNNNNNNNNNNNNNNNNNNNNNNNNNNNNNNNNNNNNNNNNNNNNNNNNNNNNNNNNNNNNNNNNNNNNNNNNNNNNNNNNNNNNNNNNNNNNNNNNNNNNNNNNNNNNNNNNNNNNNNNNNNNNNNNNNNNNNNNNNNNNNNNNNNNNNNNNNNNNNNNNNNNNNNNNNCUCACCAACGACCACCAACAUCAUUGCGCUUGAAGUGUUGCCCAACCACAACAAGUGAUUAGGAUUUGAAGAAACCGCCGGCAACCACAAAGCGUCGACCGGCCGUCGCCCGACGCUACCGCUUGAACCACCCCGACUUUCCACCACCGCUGCCAACGACCACCUAGAUCAUUGCGCUUGACAUGUUUCUAAGCAUUGGUUAGCAAUAGACGUGGUCUGAUGUCGUGCGAUGGCCAUGUCCUGCAACGUCCUGACACGUCCCGAAACGUCCUGACACGUCCUGACACGUACCAUGACCAUAUCCUGCUAUGUCUUGCGACGUACUGACACGUACCAUGGCCAUGUCCUGACGCGUCCUGACACGUACCAUGGCCAUGUACUGACGCCUCCUGACACGUGCCGUGGCCAUGUCUUGACGCGUCCUAACACGUGCCAUGGCCAUGACCUGACGCGUCCUGACACUUGCCAUGGCCAUGUCCUGACACGUCCUGAUACGUACCAUGGCCAUAUCCUGCCAUGUCAUGCGACGUCCUGCCAUGUCCCGACGCAUCCUGACACGUGCCAUGGCCAUGUCCUGACGCGUCCUGACACGUACCAUGGCCAUAUCCUGCAGCGCACGGUAGCUUCGCGCCACUGGCUUGACCAAUUGUGCGAAUCAACGGUUCCUCUCGUACUAGGUUGAAUUACUAUUGCAACAUUAUCAUCAGUAGGGUAAAACUAACAUGUCUCACGACGGUCUAAACCCAGCUCACGUUCCCUAUUGGUGGGUGAACAAUCCAACACUUAGUGAAUUCUGCCUUACAAUGAUAGGAAGAGCCGACAUCGAAGGAUCAAAAAGCAACGUCGCUAUAAACGCUUGGCUGCCAGAAGCCAGUUAUCCCUGUGGUAACUUUUCUGACACCUCUAGCUUCGAAUUCAGAAGGUCUAAAGGAUCGUUAGGCCACGCUAUGUCCUGCCAUGCCCUGCGACAUCCUAACUCGUGCCAUGGCCACGCCCUGCCAUGUCCUACGACGUCUGACUCGUGCCAUGGCCACGCCAUGCCAUGUCCUGACGCGUCCUGACACGUGCCAUGGCCAUGUGGUGAUGUGUCCUGACACGUGCCAUGGCCAAGUCCUGACGCGUCCUGACUCAUUCCAUCGCCACGCCCUGCCAUGCCCUACCAUGCACUGCGACGUCAUGAGUCAUGCCAUGGCCACGCCCUGCCAUGGCCUGCGAUGUCUCGACUCGUGCCAUGGCCACUCACUGCCAUGUCCUGACACGUACCAUGGCCAUGUCCUUACGCGUCCUGCGACGUCCUGACUCUUGCCAUGGCUACGCCCUGCCAUCCCUUGCGACGUCGUGAGUCAUACCAUGGCCACGCCCUGCCAUGCUCUGCGAUGUUAUGAGUCAUGCCAUAAUCACGCCCUGCCAUGUCCUGCGACGUCCUGAUUGGUGCCAUGGCCACGCCCUGCCAUGUCCUGCGACGUCCCGACUCGUGCCAUGGCCACGCCCUGCCAUGUCCUUAAACGUACCAUGGCCAUGUCCUGACGCGUCCUGACUCUUGCCAUGGCCACGCCCUGCUGGGUCAUGCCAUGGUCACGCCCUUCCAUGUCCUGACACGUGCCACUGCCAGGUCCUGACACGUGCCACUGCCAUGUCCUAAUGCGUCCAGACAUAGACCAUGGCCAUGUCCUGACUCGUCCUGCGACGUCCUGACUCUAGCCAUGGCUAUGUCCUUACUUGUCCUACGACGUCCUGACUCGUGCCAUGGCCACGCCCUGCCAUGUCAUGUGAUGUCCUGACAUGUCCCGACCCGUGUCAUGCCAUGUCCUGCGACGUACUGACACGUCAUGGGCCAUGCCAUGGCUACCGCUUGCGCUCGUUGCAUAGGCCUUGGCCUCUCAAGCGACACCCUGAAAAGCCUCUAGUACUGUAACGUGGUUUGGUAUUUCCCUCGACGUGAAUAAGUGUCAAGUCACAGCGGUUCGGCAAGCGGACGGCGGGCGCAUGCGUCGCUUCUAGCUCGGAUUCUGACUUAGAGGCGUUCAGUCAUAAUCCCGCACGUUGUAGCUUCGCACCACUGGCUUUUCAACUAGGCGCGGUGAAAAAUUGUGCGAAUCAACGGUUCCUCUCGUACUAGGUUGAAUUACUAUUGCGACACUAUCAUCAGUAGGGUAAAACUAACAUGUCUCACGACGGUCUAAACCCAGCUCACGUUCCCUAUUGGUGGGUGAACAAUCCAACACUUGGUGAAUUAUGCUUCACAAUGGUAGGAAAAGCCGACAUCGAAGGAUCAAAAAGCAACGUCGCUAUGAACGCUUGGCUGCCACAAGCCAGGCCUCUGCCUUACAAUGAUAGGAAGAGCCGACAUCGAAGGAUCAAAAAGCAACGUCGCUAUAAACGCUUGGCUGCCAGAAGCCAGUUAUCCCUGUGGUAACUUUUCUGACACCUCUAGCUUCGAAUUCAGAAGGUCUAAAGGAUCGUUAGGCCACGCUUUCACGGUUCGUAUUCCCUGACACGUACAAUGGCCAUGUCCUGACACGUACCAUGGCCAUGUAGAUCGGAAGAGCGUCGUGUAGGGAAAGAGUGUAGAUCUCGGUGGUCGCCGUAUCAUUAAAAAAAAAAUGUGUUCGUAUUCGUACUGGAAAUCAGAAUCAAACGAGCUUUUACCCUUCUGUU
RNAcentral lists this long non-coding RNA (5658 nucleotides) under Nicotiana benthamiana. Its description in RNAcentral is "long non-coding RNA (NBEN_LNC027279)". Lineage: Eukaryota; Viridiplantae; Streptophyta; Magnoliopsida; Solanales; Solanaceae. The record is from RNAcentral.